UACGUAGGGAGCAAGCGUUGUCCGGAAUCAUUGGGCGUAAAGCGCGCGUAGGCGGCUCGAUCAGUCUGUUGUGAAAGUCAAAGGCUCAACCUUUGAAUGCCGAUGGAUACUGUCGAGCUAGAGUCCGGAAGAGGCGGGUGGAAUUCCUGGUGUAGCGGUGGAAUGCGCAGAUAUCAGGAGGAACACCGAUUGCGAAGGCAGCUCGCUGGGACGUAACUGACGCUGAGACGCGAAAGCGUGGGGAGCAAACAGG
This 253-nucleotide ribosomal RNA is filed under the name uncultured bacterium. Its description in RNAcentral is "partial 16S ribosomal RNA". It matches the Rfam family "Bacterial small subunit ribosomal RNA", at positions 524 to 776 of the family's 1533-position model. The record is from RNAcentral.